CAGCCGACGAUAUCCGCGCAUUCAGGUCAGUCACCCCUCAUAUUGUCUGCGUCUGACGCUUCCGCGCGGUCUUCCGACGAGGUUCGGCCUAUAAUCGUGCGUGGAUGGCUGUACUGACAGGCUAUUGGUACGCGGCUGUACGCUUGAGGCAUUUCUCUCUUCCUCUUGACUGUAUGUGUGUGUGGAUCGUUUAACAGUUUUUGACAUU
Molecule: non-coding RNA, 208 nt
Organism: Caenorhabditis elegans
Lineage: Eukaryota; Metazoa; Nematoda; Chromadorea; Rhabditida; Rhabditidae
Source: Ensembl